UGGGGAAUAUUGGACAAUGGGGGCAACCCUGAUCCAGCCAUGCCGCGUGAGUGAUGAAGGCCCUAGGGUUGUAAAGCUCUUUUGUGCGGGAAGAUAAUGACGGUACCGCAAGAAUAAGCCCCGGCUAACUUCGUGCCAGCAGCCGCGGUAAUACGAAGGGGGCUAGCGUUGCUCGGAAUCACUGGGCGUAAAGGGUGCGUAGGCGGGUCUUUAAGUCAGGGGUGAAAUCCUGGAGCUCAACUCCAGAACUGCCUUUGAUACUGAAGAUCUUGAGUAUGGGAGAGGUGAGUGGAACUGCGAGUGUAGAGGUGAAAUUCGUAGAUAUUCGCAAGAACACCAGUGGCGAAGGCGGCUCACUGGCCCAUAACUGACGCUGAGGCACGAAAGCGUGGGGAGCAAACAGG
RNAcentral lists this ribosomal RNA (404 nucleotides) under Actinomycetes bacterium. RNAcentral's name for it is "Actinobacteria bacterium partial 16S ribosomal RNA". It matches the Rfam family "Bacterial small subunit ribosomal RNA", at positions 355 to 776 of the family's 1533-position model. Lineage: Bacteria; Bacillati; Actinomycetota; Actinomycetes. The record is from RNAcentral. RNAcentral also lists the same sequence under 2 other names.